RNAcentral lists this ribosomal RNA (253 nucleotides) under uncultured bacterium. RNAcentral's name for it is "partial 16S ribosomal RNA". It matches the Rfam family "Bacterial small subunit ribosomal RNA", at positions 524 to 776 of the family's 1533-position model. The record is from RNAcentral.
UACGUAGGGGGCAAGCGUUGUCCGGAAUCAUUGGGCGUAAAGCGCGUGUAGGCGGCCCGGUAAGUCCGCUGUGAAAGUCCAGGGCUCAACCCUGGGAUGCCGGUGGAUACUGUCGGGCUCGAGUCCGGAAGAGGAGUGUGGAAUUCCUGGAGUAGCGGUGAAAUGCGCAGAUAUCAGGAAGAACACCUAUGGCGAAGGCAGCUCUCUGGGACGGUACUGACGCUGAGACGCGAAAGCGUGGGGAGCGAACAGG